GGAUACUUAAUGACUAUUGGAGAACCAAGGCUGGGCUAGCAGGGCUUGCACACACAUGAAGGGAAUUGAUACUGACACUAGGCCCGCCAGUACGCAAUCCGGCCCAGUCAAUACAUAGGUCUACCGGUGAACAGAAAGUAGCAUUCAACUACUACAAUAAAUUUGUCACCAACUGAAGCAGUGAACUAUUUUGUUCACGGAUGAUCAUCUGCAACACAAAGAAUUAUUUUUCUGGAAGAACAUACAGGAGAAAGGUCCAGGUAUCAAAAUUCAAAUAUAUUCCAGGCCUUCUUAGAACCAUAUCACAAGAAAACUAAUCCCCAGACUCAUAAUCCACAGUCAUAUAUAUAUAUAUUUGUAAGGAUCCUCUUUUCAUGUUAACAUGGCAAAAUUGCCUCCACAAAACAUAGAAAAAUUGACAAAAUCAACAAUCAUCCCCCUUGAAAGACAGAUCGAUGAAAUAGCUAACUGAAAGAUAAAUAGGUGUUGGAAACAAAAAAGGAACAAAAGUGGGAACCACUUCAUCUGUCACAAAUUCCAAGCAUUUUAUUGGAGAAAUAAAACAAGGUUCAAGAUCGUUUACAUGGAUUACAUGGAUAAGAUACAACACUAGGUAUCACAUUCCAAGUUAUUAACUUUUGGUCCAUUCACUAUAAUUUGGUCCAUUCACUAUACAAGAAAAAAAUGGGCACAGGAUGGUCUAGGUCAAGUGAUUUUUAAUAAGUUAUGGUAGCAAGGACUAGUUGGUAAAGAAAUAGAGAUCUCAGCAUCUAUCAAAGAGGUAUCAGGUCUCUUACCAAAAAAACAGAGGUGGGUCAGAAUGCAAACUGUUGGGCUAUGACAACUAAAGCUUAUGGCAUAAAAGUUAAUCAGCAUAAAACCAAUGAUAUACCACCAUACUCGAACAAAUUAAAUUUAAUUAUUCAUCCAUGGUGAAAUGAUGCUUCAUAAAAACAAGCUUAAGGUCACUGCAAUCACACUCAUAAAGUCUAUCCUCAAUGACAUCCAAUAUCCCCGAAAUUCUCUCUUUAUAUUAAACCACCAUAGGACAUAUUCUAGGAGAAUAGCUUAAAAGGUUCAGGUCCACCCAGAGUCAUGAAACACCAAUAGGCAAAUAACUGUAACAUACCUAUGAAGCCACUAAGCAACUAGAAGUGUAGAAUAUGCUACAACAUUCUCAAACUCUUCCUCUAUUCUUUAAAGACA
Molecule: long non-coding RNA, 1206 nt
Filed under: Elaeis guineensis (African oil palm)
Lineage: Eukaryota; Viridiplantae; Streptophyta; Magnoliopsida; Arecales; Arecaceae
Description: long non-coding RNA (EGUI_LNC075290)
Source: RNAcentral